GUGAGCUCGUGAGCGGCGGAGGGUGAGUAACGCGUGGGAAUAUGCCCUUCUCUACGGAAUAGCCUCGGGAAACUGAGAGUAAUACCGUAUACGCCCUUCGGGGGAAAGAUUUAUCGGAGAAGGAUUAGCCCGCGUUAGAUUAGGUAGUUGGUGGGGUAAUGGCCUACCAAGCCUACGAUCUAUAGCUGGUUUGAGAGGAUGAUCAGCCACACUGGGACUGAGACACGGCCCAGACUCCUACGGGAGGCAGCAGUAGGGAAUCUUAGACAAUGGACGCAAGUCUGAUCUAGCCAUGCCGCGUGUGUGACGAAGGCCUUAGGGUCGUAAAGCACUUUCGCCAGAGAUGAUAAUGACAGUAUCUGGUAAAGAAACCCCGGCUAACUCCGUGCCAGCAGCCGCGGUAAUACGGAGGGGGUUAGCGUUGUUCGGAAUUACUGGGCGUAAAGCGCGCGUAGGCGGACUAUUAAGUCAGGGGUGAAAUCCCGGGGCUCAACCCCGGAACUGCCCUUGAUACUGGUAGUCUUGAGUUCGAGAGAGGUGAGUAGAAUUCCGAGUGUAGAGGUGAAAUUCGUAGAUAUUCGGAGGAAUACCAGUGGCGAAGGCGGCUCACUGGCUCGAUACUGACGCUGAGGUGCGAAAGUGUGGGGAGC
RNAcentral lists this ribosomal RNA (650 nucleotides) under uncultured bacterium. RNAcentral describes it as "bacterial SSU rRNA". It matches the Rfam family "Bacterial small subunit ribosomal RNA", at positions 83 to 769 of the family's 1533-position model. The record is from RNAcentral.